ACUGCAGGCUGCAACCCGCCUGCACGAAGUUGGAAUUGCUAGUAAUCGUGGAUCAGCAUGCCACGGUGAAUACGUUCCCGGGCCUUGUACACACCGCCCGUCACACCAUGGGAGUCGGUAACACCCGAAGCCGAUAGUCUAACGAAAGAGGACGUCGUCGAAGGUGGGAUUGAUGACUGGGGUGAAGUCGUAACAAGGUAUC
Molecule: ribosomal RNA, 202 nt
Filed under: uncultured bacterium
Lineage: Bacteria
Description: partial 16S ribosomal RNA
Rfam family: Bacterial small subunit ribosomal RNA
Source: RNAcentral